Molecule: long non-coding RNA, 650 nt
Filed under: Olea europaea subsp. europaea
Lineage: Eukaryota; Viridiplantae; Streptophyta; Magnoliopsida; Lamiales; Oleaceae
Source: RNAcentral
UAGAUUGUGAGUGGGUAUGUCAUCCUCCUCAUUAUAGUCCUCCUAAGAUCAAUAGGUUUUCGUCGAAAUACAUCCCGUCUUUUCACUUAAAAUACAUGCAAUAGAAUCUUUGUAUUCGGCUUAAUUCUUUUAGCAAAAGAUUGGGCCGAGUUUUCAAUUAAGAGAAUGGAGGCUAAUUAUUUGUUAUCUUAUAGAGUAUCCACUGUGUCAAACUCAAAUUUGAUCUCUUUGCAUACAUCACAGGCAGCAGCUACUUCAGACUCCAUUUGCUAGCCUCACGGAUAAUUACAUUACCUUUAGAAGCAAGAUCACGUCCUUCAUUAUGAUCUUUUACACAUGUUUCUAGAGCUAUUCAGUUAGCUAUGUCACAUGGCGCAUUACCCGAAGGGUGCCCCAAAGUUCCUCCACCAAAUGUAGUAUGAAAUCAUCCCCAAAGAUCUCGGUCAAAGCUAGCAUAUGCCAAACGUAAAUACCCCCAAAGCCACGGGCAGAAACCUGGUAGAGAGAUCCAAUCUUGAGUGAAGUAAAUACCGUGACUUCGUUCUUUUGCAAUAAAAUCAUCAUGCAGUAAAUCAACAAAGCCCAAAGUGAUCUCUCUUUCCCCUUCAAGUUUAGCUAGGAGAGAAUUUUCUAAGAUCCUAAAGGAUUGU